This 785-nucleotide ribosomal RNA is filed under the name uncultured bacterium. RNAcentral's name for it is "bacterial SSU rRNA". It matches the Rfam family "Bacterial small subunit ribosomal RNA", at positions 8 to 794 of the family's 1533-position model. The record is from RNAcentral.
AGAGUUUGAUCAUGGCUCAGAUUGAACGCUGGCGGUAUGCCUUACACAUGCAAGUCGAACGGUAGAGGGGCAACCCUUGAGAGUGGCGAACGGGUGAGUAAUACAUCGGAACGUGCCCAGUCGUGGGGGAUAACGUAGCGAAAGCUACGCUAAUACCGCAUACGACCUGAGGGUGAAAGCGGGGGAUCGCAAGACCUCGCGCGAUUGGAGCGGCCGAUGGCAGAUUAGGUAGUUGGUGGGGUAAAGGCCUACCAAGCCUGCGAUCUGUAGCUGGUCUGAGAGGACGACCAGCCACACUGGGACUGAGACACGGCCCAGACUCCUACGGGAGGCAGCAGUGGGGAAUUUUGGACAAUGGGCGAAAGCCUGAUCCAGCCAUACCGCGUGCGGGAAGAAGGCCUUCGGGUUGUAAACCGCUUUUGUCAGGGAAGAAAUCUUCUGGGCUAAUACCUCGGGAGGAUGACGGUACCUGAAGAAUAAGCACCGGCUAACUACGUGCCAGCAGCCGCGGUAAUACGUAGGGUGCAAGCGUUAAUCGGAAUUACUGGGCGUAAAGCGUGCGCAGGCGGUUCCAUAAGACAGAUGUGAAAUCCCCGGGCUCAACCUGGGAACUGCAUUUGUGACUGUGGAGCUAGAGUACGGUAGAGGGGGAUGGAAUUCCGCGUGUAGCAGUGAAAUGCGUAGAUAUGCGGAGGAACACCAAUGGCGAAGGCAAUCNCCUGGACCUGUACUGACGCUCAUGCACGAAAGCGUGGGGAGCAAACAGGAUUAGAUACCCCGGUAGU